This is a long non-coding RNA of Gadus macrocephalus (Pacific cod), 659 nucleotides long. RefSeq lists it as uncharacterized. The transcript is spliced from 5 exons. The record is from RefSeq and is a predicted model, not a curated record. Lineage: Eukaryota; Metazoa; Chordata; Actinopteri; Gadiformes; Gadidae.
AAUAAGACAAACUACAUGUUUGUUACCAGACUUUAGGGCCAGACCCGCGCUGUUUGUUCCAGAACAGGACUCUGGCUGAGGUGAGCUGAUGGAGGAGCCAAGACUCUGGAGGACGACAUCACUCCGCCAACCAGGAUCCUCAGACGAAUUACGUUUGUAACCAGACCACGAAUCUGGAGGACUGAUGGAGAAGCCGUACAUCUGGAAGGCAAAUCCUGAGGACCACCAGGACUCUACCAUCAAGGAUUCCUCAUAAGUUUGCAUUAUCUGGACAUAGUGGACUAGACACACCUGAGCUGAACCUCACCUGAUCCUGUUUGGUCGGGGGUAGACACACCUGAGCUAAACCCGCCCUGAUCCUGACAUCCUUCUGGUCCCGUCUCCUCAGUUCAUCUGAGCCUCGUCCUCCAGAAGACCUGCUGAGCUCAGCUGUCUGAGGCUGAUGGAUCAAUGACCUCCAGUGGGAGUGAUCUUCUUGACCCCACAUACACGGACUCUGUCUGAGGAGAGCUGCUGGAGGAGCUGAGAUGCUGGAGGACGACUAGGAAUCGACCAACAAGGAUUCCUUAACGUGUUUCUGGAGCGGAGGCGAGCUGGUAGGGGAGCCGUGAAUCUGGAGGAUGACCAUCACUCUACCAUCACUCUCUAAGUUUGUAUUA